Mauremys mutica (yellowpond turtle) is the source of this 73-nucleotide non-coding RNA. The record is from the annotation of a RefSeq genome assembly. NCBI's taxonomy places the organism in Eukaryota, Metazoa, Chordata, Testudines, Geoemydidae.
AUCAAAGUAGCUCAGUUGGGAGAGCGUUAAACUGAGGAUCUAAAGGUCCCUGGUUCAAUCUCAGGCUUUGGCA